Molecule: ribosomal RNA, 393 nt
Filed under: uncultured bacterium
Lineage: Bacteria
Description: bacterial SSU rRNA
Rfam family: Bacterial small subunit ribosomal RNA
Source: RNAcentral
UAGGGAAUAUUGCGCAAUGGGCGAAAGCCUGACGCAGCAACGCCGCGUGAAGGAUGAAGGCCUUCGGGUCGUAAACUUCUGUCAGAUGGGAAGAAGGUUUGUAGGUUAAGAGCUAGUGAACUUGACGGUACCAUCAGAGGAAGUCCCGGCUAACUCCGUGCCAGCAGCCGCGGUAAUACGGAGGGGGUUAGCGUUGUUCGGAAUUACUGGGCGUAAAGCGCACGUAGGCGGACCAGAAAGUUGGGGGUGAAAUCCCGGGGCUCAACCCCGGAACUGCCUCCAAAACUAUUGGUCUAGAGUUCGAGAGAGGUGAGUGGAAUUCCAAGUGUAGAGGUGAAAAUUCGUAGAUAUUUGGAGGAACACCAGUGGCGAAGGCGGCUACCUGGACCAGUU